AUGAACGCUAGCUACAGGCUUAACACAUGCAAGUCGAGGGGCAUCAGGAAGAAAGCUUGCUUUCUUUGCUGGCGACCGGCGCACGGGUGAGUAACACGUAUCCAACCUGCCCUUUACUCGGGGAUAGCCUUUCGAAAGAAAGAUUAAUACCCGAUAGCAUAAUGAUUCCGCAUGGUUUCAUUAUUAAAGGAUUCCGGUAAAGGAUGGGGAUGCGUUCCAUUAGGUUGUUGGUGAGGUAACGGCU
RNAcentral lists this ribosomal RNA (244 nucleotides) under uncultured bacterium. RNAcentral's name for it is "partial 16S ribosomal RNA". It matches the Rfam family "Bacterial small subunit ribosomal RNA", at positions 29 to 265 of the family's 1533-position model. The record is from RNAcentral.